This 71-nucleotide transfer RNA is filed under the name Camelus bactrianus (Bactrian camel). It matches the Rfam family "tRNA". Rfam says of the family: Transfer RNA (tRNA) molecules are approximately 80 nucleotides in length. Their secondary structure includes four short double-helical elements and three loops (D, anti-codon, and T loops). RNAcentral also lists the same sequence under 2 other names. Lineage: Eukaryota; Metazoa; Chordata; Mammalia; Artiodactyla; Camelidae. The record is from Rfam by way of RNAcentral.
GAGGGUAUAGCCCAGAAGGAGAGCACAUGCUUAGCAAGCCCGAGGUCCUGGGUUCAAUCCCCAGUACCUCG